GAAAGGUGCUUGCAUCUUGAUUUUAAUUUUGAACGAGUGGCGGACGGGUGAGUAACACGUGGGUAACCUGCCCUUAAGUGGGGGAUAACAUUUGGAAACAGAUGCUAAUACCGCAUAAAUCCAAGAACCGCAUGGUUCUUGGCUGAAAGAUGGCGUAAGCUAUCGCUUUUGGAUGGACCCGCGGCGUAUUAGCUAGUUGGUGAGGUAACGGCUCACCAAGGCAAUGAUACGUAGCCGAACUGAGAGGUUGAUCGGCCACAUUGGGACUGAGACACGGCCCAAACUCCUACGGGAGGCAGCAGUAGGGAAUCUUCCACAAUGGACGCAAGUCUGAUGGAGCAACGCCGCGUGAGUGAAGAAGGCUUUCGGGUCGUAAAACUCUGUUGUUGGAGAAGAAUGGUCGGCAGAGUAACUGUUGUCGGCGUGACGGUAUCCAACCAGAAAGCCACGGCUAACUACGUGCCAGCAGCCGCGGUAAUACGUAGGUGGCAAGCGUUAUCCGGAUUUAUUGGGCGUAAAGCGAGCGCAGGCGGUUUUUUAAGUCUGAUGUGAAAGCCCUCGGCUUAACCGAGGAAGUGCAUCGGAAACUGGGAAACUUGAGUGCAGAAGAGGACAGUGGAACUCCAUGUGUAGCGGUGAAAUGCGUAGAUAUAUGGAAGAACACCAGUGGCGAAGGCGGCUGUCUGGU
Molecule: ribosomal RNA, 688 nt
Filed under: uncultured Bacilli bacterium
Lineage: Bacteria; Bacillati; Bacillota; Bacilli
Description: bacterial SSU rRNA
Rfam family: Bacterial small subunit ribosomal RNA
Source: RNAcentral